UCCCUCGUGGCGCAAUUGGCUAGCGCGUUCGACUGUUAUACCUGCAGAAUAAUCGAGAGGUUGGUGGUUCGAGCCCACCCGAGGGAG
This is a non-coding RNA of Amylocarpus encephaloides, 87 nucleotides long. Lineage: Eukaryota; Fungi; Ascomycota; Leotiomycetes; Helotiales. The record is from the annotation of a GenBank genome assembly.